Diceros bicornis minor is the source of this 404-nucleotide long non-coding RNA. RefSeq lists it as uncharacterized. NCBI's taxonomy places the organism in Eukaryota, Metazoa, Chordata, Mammalia, Perissodactyla, Rhinocerotidae. The transcript is spliced from 3 exons. The record is from RefSeq and is a predicted model, not a curated record.
GGAGGUCCGGUGGUGGGACCGCCGGAAACAGGCAGGAGCUCAUCCCAAACCUACCCCUGGGCGUAACGAGAAUGCGAAGUCUUCAGAUUGAGAACAAUGAUAUUCAAAGAACUAUAUCCAAGACAUUGUACCUGAGAAGCCUCAUCUGUACCUAGAUCUGAUGUAGAUGAUGCAAUCUGGCACCUUGAGCUUGAGCAUGAGGCUAUAAUGGAAUGAGACCUUUGGUGGGCAUUGGAAGAGUGAUGGGACAUAGGGAGAAGACACUGUCUGUAAGCCAGGAAAUGGUGCUCAAGAGGAACUGAAUCUGUUGGAACCUGGUCUCGGACUUCCCAGCUUGCAGAACUGUGAGAAAUAAAUGUCUAUUGUUUAAGCCAGUGAGGCUAUGGUAUUUUGUUGUAGCAGCC